This is a long non-coding RNA of Poecilia latipinna (sailfin molly), 351 nucleotides long. RefSeq lists it as uncharacterized. The record is from RefSeq and is a predicted model, not a curated record. The transcript is spliced from 2 exons. Lineage: Eukaryota; Metazoa; Chordata; Actinopteri; Cyprinodontiformes; Poeciliidae.
ACCAGCAUGGACAGACUCACUCACAGGAAACUUCCUGCACAUAUAAAACUCAACAUUUUCAAAAGACCACAGGUUUUGAACUGAAAUGUUAAGUUUUGGAAAGUGACUGGCUCUCUGGAGGUACCUAAAGAUUAGGAUGGGGGCAGGGAAGCAUUCCAAAUGCAAAGGUUUAGAGCUGACAAUUAAAAAUAAAUCCGAAAAAUAACAGCAGAAAUUCACAAAAAGCUGCUCAGCUACUAUAAGAGUUGUAAAGAUUUGUGCAAUAAUUAUUAAGAAAGAGUACAAGAACUGGGUUCCUUCACAGGAUUUCUUACUAUUGCUUGGCAGAUAUAAAAAUCUAACUGUUUAGGG